GUCCCAUGUGCCGCUGGUCUGCCUUUGUGCGUCCUUGCCCAAAGUCAAGCGAGUGGCCUUCCUUCCCGGUUCCAGGUUCCAGUUUACUGUGGCAGAUCUAACCAGGGAUGAACCUUGGCGCUCCAGUUAUUGGAAGGUAAGACCCAGGAACUGCCAAGCUGGGUCAAGGCGACCACAAGAGGGUGCAGCUCUUCCAGGUUGUUCGGUUCUUCUUUCUGUAAAAUGAUUGUGUCCAAUUCGUUCGUGUUGCUAGUCUGAAGGAACUUGACUGGGACUUUUUUCUUAAUUUAAAGAGAUAGUAAAUAAAUAACAAAUAGAGGAACUGUCUAAUUAAAUC
Molecule: long non-coding RNA, 337 nt
Organism: Gasterosteus aculeatus aculeatus (three-spined stickleback)
Lineage: Eukaryota; Metazoa; Chordata; Actinopteri; Perciformes; Gasterosteidae
Source: Ensembl